Molecule: long non-coding RNA, 429 nt
Organism: Ornithodoros turicata
Lineage: Eukaryota; Metazoa; Arthropoda; Arachnida; Ixodida; Argasidae
Exons: 3
Source: RefSeq, a predicted model, not a curated record
CCGCGUCCAGGCUCAUUCAAAUUUCGUGUCGAACGCGUUCGGACGUAUGUUUGGAGGGCUCUCGCUUCUGAAUCGUCUUUCGUCGUGGUUUUGCUGCUCCGGUGCCGUGACUGUUUAUUGUGCCUUCCUAGUGAUAUCUGCUUCUGUGUGUACCAUGGAAGAUACCUCCGGUAGCCGUUGGACUUCGUGAAUUGAAGACCAUGUUGAGAGAUGAAUCUCGGUGAACAACACAGACGAGUCACCGCACACACGGCGUGGGAAAAUGAACAGAUACGUCGUGGGGAUGUUGAAAGAGAUCAAGUAGGGCAUACCCUUCACCCAUGCGACUGCAUUAUCCAUGGAACGUUGUGUGACGUCCGACACUACCUUUCGCAAAUCAAUUUCGGACAUCGGAAGACUGCAGAAGAGAUUGUAUGUAACUGAUGAGAA